ACGGGUGAGUAACACGUGGGCAACCUGCCCUUGAGACUGGGAUAACUUCGGGAAACCGGAGCUAAUACCGGAUAAUAUAAGGAACCUCCUGGUUCCUUGUUGAAAGAUGGUUUCGGCUACCACUUAAGGAUGGGCCCGCGGCGCAUUAGCUAGUUGGUGAGGUAACGGCUCACCAAGGCGACGAUGCGUAGCCGACCUGAGAGGGUGAUCGGCCACACUGGGACUGAGACACGGCCCAGACUCCUACGGGAGGCAGCAGUAGGGAAUCUUCCACAAUGGACGAAAGUCUGAUGGAGCAACGCCGCGUGAGUGAUGAAGGCCUUCGGGUCGUAAAGCUCUGUUGUUAGGGAAGAACAAGUGCGAGAGUAACUGCUCGCACCUUGACGGUACCUAACCAGAAAGCCACGGCUAACUACGUGCCAGCAGCCGCGGUAAUACGUAGGUGGCAAGCGUUAUCCGGAAUUAUUGGGCGUAAAGCGCGCGCAGGUGGUUUCUUAAGUCUGAUGUGAAAGCCCACGGCUCAACCGUGGAGGGUCAUUGGAAGCUGGGGAGCUUGAGUGCAGAAGAGGAAAGUGGAAUUCC
RNAcentral lists this ribosomal RNA (582 nucleotides) under uncultured bacterium. Its description in RNAcentral is "bacterial SSU rRNA". It matches the Rfam family "Bacterial small subunit ribosomal RNA", at positions 102 to 670 of the family's 1533-position model. The record is from RNAcentral.